GACGGGGGGGGCUAGUGUUAUUCGGAAUGACUAGGCGUAAAGGGCACGUAGGCGGUGAAUCCGGUUGAAAGUGAAAGUCGCCAGCUCAACUGGCGGAAUGCUUUCAAAACCAAUUCACUUGAGUAAGAUAGAGGAUAGUGGAAUUUCGUGUGUAGAGAUAAAAUUCACAGAUAUACGAAGGAACACCAAAAGCGAAGGCAGCUUUCUGGGUCUCUACUGACGCUGAGGUGCGAAGGCAUAGGGAGCAAACAGG
Molecule: ribosomal RNA, 253 nt
Filed under: uncultured bacterium
Lineage: Bacteria
Description: partial 16S ribosomal RNA
Rfam family: Bacterial small subunit ribosomal RNA
Source: RNAcentral